CCCUUAGAUGUCCUGGGCCGCACGCGCGCUACACUGACAUGUUCAACAAGUUUCUCCUAGUUCGACAGGACUGGGAAAUCUUUGAACGCAUGUCGUGAUAGGGAUAGAUCAUUGCAAUUAUUGAUCUUGAACGAGGAAUUCCUAGUAAACGCGAGUCAUCAGCUCGCAUUGAUUACGUCCCUGCCCUUUGUACACACCGCCCGUCGCACCUACCGAUUGAAUGUUUCGGUGAAGAUUCCGGAUAGGACUGAUUUGAUUUAUUUCAUUUCUGACCUAAAAGAUAUCUAAACCUCAACAUUUAGAGGAAGGUGAAGUCGUAACA
Molecule: ribosomal RNA, 322 nt
Filed under: uncultured eukaryote
Lineage: Eukaryota
Description: partial 18S ribosomal RNA
Rfam family: Eukaryotic small subunit ribosomal RNA
Source: RNAcentral